Molecule: ribosomal RNA, 515 nt
Filed under: uncultured bacterium
Lineage: Bacteria
Description: partial 16S ribosomal RNA
Rfam family: Bacterial small subunit ribosomal RNA
Source: RNAcentral
GAUGAACGCUGGCGGCGUGCCUAAUACAUGCAAGUCGAGCGAAUGGAUUAAGAGCUUGCUCUUAUGAAGUUAGCGGCGGACGGGUGAGUAACACGUGGGUAACCUGCCCAUAAGACUGGGAUAACUCCGGGAAACCGGGGCUAAUACCGGAUAACAUUUUGAACCGCAUGGUUCGAAAUUGAAAGGCGGCUUCGGCUGUCACUUAUGGAUGGACCCGCGUCGCAUUAGCUUGUUGGUGAGGUAACGGCUCACCAAGGCAACGAUGCGUAGCCGACCUGAGUGGGUGCUCGGCCACACUGGGACUGGGACACGGCCCAGACUCCUACGGGAGGCAGCAGUAGGGAAUCUUCCGCAAUGGACGAAAGUCUGACGGAGCAACGCCGCGUGAGUUAUGAAGGCUUUCGGGUCGUAAAACUCUGUUGUUAGGGAAGAACAAGUGCUAGUUGAAUAAGCUGGCACCUUGACGGUACCUAACCAGAAAGCCACGGCUAACUACGUGCCAGCAGCCGCCGUAA